CCCGACAAUCUAGCCAGCUUUCUACCCACCUUAUAGUGCAUUCAUCCAGCCCAUACUUCCUUAACUUGCUGACAAGAAUACUGUGGGAGACCGUGUCAAAAGCUUUGCUAAAGUCAAGAAAGUCAUAGUUGAGUCUGCAGGCUGCUCCACUGCUAUUUCUGGUAGUUUUGCCAAGCAUUAGCAACUGAAAUUAACACAACUCCAGUCACUUUACUGCUGUUGUUCUGUCCUCUGGGAAGCAGCAAAAGUGACAAAAAUCACUAUCUGUUGAAACUGGGGGAGGAGGGAGGAGAUGAUCUUCUGGUGGGUCACCUCAGGCAGAGCAGGGAUUUGAUCCUAGGUCCCCCAUAUGCCAGCUGGAUGUCCUGACUACUAUGUUUUUUCAGCUAUUGCGGGAUGGAACUCUACUGCAGGAGCUGUUCUACUUCGUAUAAAUUAUUCAUUGGGCCAGAGAGAGAAACAGAUUCUAUAACCCAUUGGCUGGAUCUGAAGGGAAAGGAAUGUACCCCACACAAAAUGGUACCUUGGGAAGAACAGAACUAAAUGUCAAUGAAUGGAUUCUCCUCUAAAUCUCUCCUCUACCCCACAUCUUCAGCUAAUAUUCCACAGCUAAUGCUUAGCUAUGCUUGUAUGCUCCCUCUGCUACUCUCAUGAUUACAACUGAAGAAAAGAAAACCCAAGACAUUAAUGUGACAGCUGACAUGGUUAUAUGCCUAAAUAUGUAAAAAAUAAAAAGAACCUCUCCUAGGAGCUUUAA
Molecule: long non-coding RNA, 757 nt
Organism: Chelonia mydas (Green sea turtle)
Lineage: Eukaryota; Metazoa; Chordata; Testudines; Cheloniidae
Exons: 2
Source: RefSeq, a predicted model, not a curated record